This 253-nucleotide ribosomal RNA is filed under the name uncultured bacterium. Its description in RNAcentral is "partial 16S ribosomal RNA". It matches the Rfam family "Bacterial small subunit ribosomal RNA", at positions 524 to 776 of the family's 1533-position model. The record is from RNAcentral.
UACGUAGGGUGCAAGCGUUGUCCGGAAUUAUUGGGCGUAAAGCGCGUGUAGGCGGCUCGAUAAGUCCGGUGUGAAACCUUGGGGCUCAACCCCAAGCCUGCACUGGAUACUGCCGAGCUAGAGUCCGGGAGGGGAGAGCGGAAUUCCUAGUGUAGCGGUGAAAUGCGCAGAUAUUAGGAAGAACACCGGUGGCGAAGGCGGCUCUCUGGGCCUGUACUGACGCUGAGGAACGAAAGCGUGGGGAGCGAACAGG